UUUUGGCAUAUCAAAAGCGGAGGAAAAGAAACCAACAGGGAUUGCCCUAGUAACGGCGAGUGAAGCGGCAACAGCUCAAAUUUGAAAUCUGGCCUCUUUUGGGGUCCGAGUUGUAAUUUGCAGAGGGCGCUUUGGAGUCGGCAGCGGUCCAAGUUCCUUGGAACAGGACGUCACAGAGGGUGAGAAUCCCGUACGUGGUCGCUAGCCUUCUCCGUGUAAAGCCCCUUCGACGAGUCGAGUUGUUUGGGAAUGCAGCUCUAAAUGGGAGGUAAAUUUCUUCUAAAGCUAAAUAUUGGCCAGAGACCGAUAGCGCACAAGUAGAGUGAUCGAAAGAUGAAAAGCACUUUGGAAAGAGAGUCAAAAAGCACGUGAAAUUGUUGAAAGGGAAGCGCUUGCAGCCAGACUUGCCUGUAGUUGCUCAUCCGGGCUUUUGCCCGGUGCACUCUUCUAUAGGCAGGCCAGCAUCAGUUUGGGCGGUUGGAUAAAGGUCUCUGUCAUGUACCUCUCUUCGGGGAGAACUUAUAGGGGAGACGCCAUGCAACCAGCUCAGACUGAGGUCCGCGCAUUCGCUAGGAUGCUGGCGUAAUGGCUGUAAGCGGCCCGUCUUGAAACACGGACCCAAAAAA
Molecule: ribosomal RNA, 626 nt
Filed under: Wilsonomyces carpophilus
Lineage: Eukaryota; Fungi; Ascomycota; Dothideomycetes
Description: partial large subunit ribosomal RNA
Rfam family: Eukaryotic large subunit ribosomal RNA
Source: RNAcentral